GACGAACGCUGGCGGCGUGCUUAACACAUGCAAGUCGAACGGAAAGGCCCUGCUUUUGUGGGGUGCUCGAGUGGCGAACGGGUGAGUAACACGUGAGUAACCUGCCCUUGACUUUGGGAUAACUUCAGGAAACUGGGGCUAAUACCGGAUAGGAGCUCCUGCUGCAUGGUGGGGGUUGGAAAGUUUCGGCGGUUGGGGAUGGACUCGCGGCUUAUCAGCUUGUUGGUGGGGUAGUGGCUUACCAAGGCUUUGACGGGUAGCCGGCCUGAGAGGGUGACCGGCGACAUUGGGACUGAGGUACGGCCCAGACUGCUACGGGAGGCAGCAGUGGGGAAUAUUGCACAAUGGGGGGAAGCCUGAUGCAGCAACGCCGCGUGCGGGAUGACGGCCUUCGGGUUGUAAACCGCUUUCGCCUGUGACGAAGCGUGAGUGACGGUAAUGGGUAAAGAAGCACCGGCUAACUACGUG
RNAcentral lists this ribosomal RNA (468 nucleotides) under uncultured bacterium. RNAcentral's name for it is "partial 16S ribosomal RNA". It matches the Rfam family "Bacterial small subunit ribosomal RNA", at positions 28 to 507 of the family's 1533-position model. The record is from RNAcentral.